GGAGAGAUGGCUGAGUGGUCGAAAGCGCCACCCUGGAAAGGUGGUAUAGGGGCAACUCUAUCGAGGGUUCGAAUCCCUCUCUCUCCGCCA
Molecule: transfer RNA, 90 nt
Filed under: Betaproteobacteria bacterium
Lineage: Bacteria; Pseudomonadati; Pseudomonadota; Betaproteobacteria
Also listed under: 3 other names
Description: tRNA-Ser
Rfam family: tRNA
About the family: Transfer RNA (tRNA) molecules are approximately 80 nucleotides in length.
Source: RNAcentral